This 100-nucleotide transfer RNA is filed under the name Actinomycetospora sp. NBRC 106378. Its description in RNAcentral is "tRNA-Ala". Lineage: Bacteria; Bacillati; Actinomycetota; Actinomycetes; Pseudonocardiales; Pseudonocardiaceae. The record is from RNAcentral.
CCGUCGUGUGACGUCCGUGGGUCGGGCUCGGCGGGUCGAGCGGGCCCGCGGCGGUCGGUCGGGACCGCUGAGGGGCCGUUCGUCGCGGUCACGACGGACC